AGUGAAGACAAUAAUGCUCAACUA
This 24-nucleotide non-coding RNA is filed under the name Arabidopsis thaliana (thale cress). Lineage: Eukaryota; Viridiplantae; Streptophyta; Magnoliopsida; Brassicales; Brassicaceae. The record is from RNAcentral.